AAAACUCCUCUGCUUCCAGCCGUCAGUGAGCGCCACCCUCUCCAGGAACAGAUGUCCUGCGUUCUAAAUGGAGAGUGCAGAGCCCACAGCAAAGAACUGUCCCCAGCAGCCCGGAUCCCUCUGACAUCAGCCCCCAGGAAUGUGCUGCAGACCCUCUAGCACGUUCAGGCCUCCCAGAGGAGCCCCUCCCCUCCCCUCCCCUCCUCCAUCCCAGUGUUUCACUGGGGACAGGCCUCUGAGCUGCAGACGGAGGCCCUCGGAGGGUGGUAGACAGCCCACCCGGCUCCAGGCCUGGAGACUGGAGGAGUGACUGGAGUGAGUGAGGCAGCCUUGGGUGGAGUGGAGUGGGAAGCCUGCCUGUGAAAGAGGCAGCUAGGCCAAUAGCUGGUCUGCAAGAAGAACACGGAGCUGGACUGAUUCAACCAAGAGUCCUACCCACCGGCACUCCCCUUGCCAAGAGUGAAGGCAGAUGCAGUGGGAUUCUGCCAGCUGCUGAGUACAUCUAUUUCCAUGAUGCUUUCCGGAAGUGGGGAAAUAGCACAGGAUGGGUUUGAGAUGGACGUAAGCUAAAAACCCAUAAGCCCCCACUUUGAUGUUCUGGGUCUCCUAGAAUUAGUGUCAGCUCAGAACCAGUGGCCAGUAGUCCAAAAGAUCUGAUUAUUUCCUUUUCUCCAAUGCAUGCUCAUCCUGGUGAAAGGUGUCUUUGGAGAACUGGGAGAAAGCAUACAGUAUAGAUUUCUGGCAGGCUACGAGGGUGCUUCCUUGAGAGUACCCAGCCUUUCCCUCAUUCAAGAGCUUCCAGUCUGAUAAAACUGGCUCAAGUACAGGAAUGGAUUGAGGGGGUCAUGACUCUACUCUGCUUUUAUGAUUUGGGAUAGACUUUUGUUUGCUUGACCUAGAAGUUUUCUGCUUAUACAGAUUAAGUACGAACUUAGUAGGCUUCCUGUCUAUUUCACUUCGAGGAACAUCAUGAUCAACCAGCCAACACCACAGGUCUGCAGCAGUCAGACUCUGCUGCUUUGACUCCACUGUCCAAUAGGGUCAGCACGUCCACCUUGCCUUUGGUAGUACUACAGCCACGGGGCCCCUGCCACCCUGGAGCCAAUUACUCCCGUCACAUUCAGGUUACUGGUUCAGUGGCUGCUGUUCCUGCUGUGAGGUCUGGCCUUCAGAGAAGAGUGAUCACAGCUCCUCAAGGAGGCUGGAGCUCCUUUCAUAUAUUUAUUUCUCACCAUCAAGGUGAAAGGCGUGUCUUCAGGAGCUUCCCAGUGUGGGUGAGGAGGUCUUAAAGGGAAGCCAAACAUGCCGCAGACCACGCGGGAAUUCUUGGCCGUCCAGUGCUUGUCACAGAUCUGCUUCCAGGUCUUGCCCUCCUUCACCUCCACGUAGCCCUCCGUCACUGGGGUGCGCUUGCGGUAGGUUGAGAGGAUGGCUCGAAUCCGAAUGUCCUCCACCUGGAUAUUCAGGUUCUGGGAAGAAAGGGCGUGGAAGGAGAGGGUUACCCUUCUGGCCUGGCCGCAGAGACACCAGGCAACCAGUACUUCUUUAGUGACUACGGGCUGGGCCUGCCUGUGCCCUCGGGCCCUGCAGUGAGCUCUGGGCACCCCGGAGGGGCACACGGCCCAAGCUGCAGUUAGAAAGCGCUAUGCAUGGGAGAUAGUGAGGCUGAAAGGACCCAACAGGGAGUGGGGCAACCCGGAACAGUCAGAAAAGACUCAAGAGACCCCAUGGGCUUCUCCUACAUCGGAACCUAAGAUCUUGGAGAGCAAAAGGCAGCAGCCUCCUCCUGCA
This 1791-nucleotide small RNA is filed under the name Pongo abelii (Sumatran orangutan). RNAcentral describes it as "retained intron". Lineage: Eukaryota; Metazoa; Chordata; Mammalia; Primates; Hominidae. The record is from RNAcentral.